Molecule: ribosomal RNA, 373 nt
Filed under: Aphanomyces astaci
Lineage: Eukaryota; Oomycota; Saprolegniomycetes; Saprolegniales; Verrucalvaceae
Description: partial large subunit ribosomal RNA
Source: RNAcentral
AGCAAUAUUUUCAAGAAACAACUUUUUAAAUUCUAAUUUAAUAGAAGUCAAGUUAUGAUCUGAGAGAUAACUUAAAAAUGGAAAGUUAUUUAGAAACAAGAUAAAAGGCAAAACACCAAACUUCAUACAAACUUAAAUGUUUGACAUUUAAAAAUUAAAGAGAUUUUUUUUUAAGUGUAUUUGAGACAAAUAAGCCAACCUUGGUACAUAACCGCUGAAAACUAAAAAACCGUACCCUAAACCAACACAGGUGGAUAGGUCGAGUAGACUAAGGUGUAUGAGAUAAUUAUGUUGAAGGAACUCGGCAAAAUGACUCUGUAACUUCGGGAGAAAGAGUACCUUUUUAUUUAAAUGUUUAUCGACGAAAUAAUAA